GAGGUUGCACGACUUAUCAGUAGAAUAUCGGAUGUCCCGGAGACAGGUGAUGAUAUUGGAAAGGAGGGAGUGCCGAAGAGUAAACAGCCGGACUGUUUAUUCUGGGCAUAUGGUUAACAGCCAUAUGACUGUCGUCAAUUUGAUGAAGAGCUAAUUGAUGGAGAGCUACUU
Molecule: non-coding RNA, 171 nt
Filed under: uncultured Eubacterium sp.
Lineage: Bacteria; Bacillati; Bacillota; Clostridia; Eubacteriales; Eubacteriaceae
Description: Lysine riboswitch
Rfam family: Lysine riboswitch aptamer
About the family: Riboswitches are metabolite binding domains within certain messenger RNAs that serve as precision sensors for their corresponding targets.
Source: RNAcentral